Molecule: long non-coding RNA, 365 nt
Organism: Siniperca chuatsi (mandarin fish)
Lineage: Eukaryota; Metazoa; Chordata; Actinopteri; Centrarchiformes; Sinipercidae
Exons: 2
Source: RefSeq, a predicted model, not a curated record
CGUUAAAUCUCGGUUCCGGUAACGUUUCUGUUCGCAUGACCUGACUGUUACCGGGAGCGCGGCUGUUCCUGACGCUCCGCCCUGCCGCCGUUACCCGCUGGACGUGAAUGCGGCCAGGUGAGAAGAGGAUCAGGUCACUGCCGGUCUCCAUGACGACACUGCCCACGCAGUCCGAAGGUCACCUGUUCAGACCGAAGCAGGAACAGGUGAGCCGGGUCACGUGGCUGCCCGUCUGACAGCACCCGCAACCCGAUAGGCCGGAGCCCGGCAGUGAUGUCAUCUGAUAGGCCGUAAUCUAGCAACCAGGUGUGACACGGAGGAGCGGAGAAGAAGAAACAGGCGGCAGACGGACAGGUGAGAGGAGA